RNA transcript from Myripristis murdjan (pinecone soldierfish), 1681 nucleotides. It is a transcript of the gene named PTTG1 interacting protein a, with no coding region annotated. Lineage: Eukaryota; Metazoa; Chordata; Actinopteri; Holocentriformes; Holocentridae. The record is from RefSeq and is a predicted model, not a curated record. The transcript is spliced from 8 exons.
CGCGCGCAUCCUCCUGCCAGUGGUUUGGUGCGUAAAGAGCGAGCGAUUGCGACAAGGUGUUGCGUUUGGCUCGGUUCCUCCUCAGCGGGGAGGUCAGCGGGCCAUUGGAGCAUUUGAAACAUUUCCUCCUUUGUGUUCUCUGUGCCUCAACACCCCUCAGUCGACCGUGGGAUAUCUGCGUUUGUAGCAAAAUGACGGGUUUGCGGAGUUUGCUCCCAGCUGUCCUCCUUCUCCUCGGUUUGGUGACGGUGUUCGCCCAGACUUCCGCACCUGGCAAAGUGUGCGAGUCUAAGAAUGGGACAAGCUGUGAGGAAUGUCUGAGCAAUGUGACGUGCUUAUGGUGCAUAACAACAAAGUCGUGCAUUACGUACCCUGUGCAGACCAUCCUUCCACCACACUCCCUGUGUCCACUGAAUGAUGCUCGCUGGGGGCUUUGCUGGAUGAACUUCCAGGCAUUGAUAAUCACCUUGGCUGUGGUGGGUGGAGUCAUCAUCAUUGCCUUCUUGAUUUGCCUGUUCUGUUGCUGCAAGUGUGAGAAUUUCGGAUCCAGCAGGUUUGAAGCCAAGAUGGAGAGACAGGCCAAUAAGACACGGACCAAACAGGAAGAACGGAGGGCAGAGAUGAAACAGAGACAUGACGAAAUCAGGAAGAAAUACGGCACUAUUUCCCCAUUGUGAGCUCCUGAGGUAUUAGUGAAACAGCACAGCAUGGUCGUGCGACUUCAAAUGCCUACAAGGAGCAAACCCAUACUCCAGAUUUGCGUGAAAUUCCUGCUUCGCCCCGACCUCUUACCUCUGACCUUGUGGACACCAUCAGCCAGCCCUGCCGUUGUAAAGAUACAUGUUGACCUAAGAGCGAAUCUAAAACCAUCCAUAACAAAAAUUCACAAAAGUGAUGUUGGCUUUACAUAGGCAGCCUGCCACUUCUUCCUGUCAGGUGUAUUUAAGCUCUGUUUAAUGCUGUGUAAUGAUCAAAGAGGCUGUAAUAAAAGGCUAGUGCAGACAGAUGUAGCAGCAGUGUUCUUUGGCAGUAGGCUACAAAACUAUUUACCAGCCUGUGGCUCCUAUAGGAUUAGUUUAUUAUAUUUAUUGGGUCAACUCCUCAGUCUAAUUGUACCUUGUGGAAAGAAUUCAGUUUGGAUUAAGACUGAUUAAGGCUUUAUGUAACUCCAGUUGUUCAUGAGAAACUGUUUCAUCCACUUUUUUUUUUUCCAGUUUGGCAUAACCCAUGUUUUUUGCAGCAGCAGCCUUGGUACUUGCUGAUUUAGCAAACUAUAUGUCUGCAGUAUUUUCUGUAAUUUCAAACUGAGUCCUUCCCAAUGAAAAUAUUCCUGUGCGGCAAACUUGUACUACUUUCAGGCCAUUUUUGUUUUAUUCUUUCUGUAGGUUCCAUUUAAAGGAAUACUUUGGCUAUUUUUUUACCCCCUGGAAUCAAAUUAUGGCUCUGAGAAAUUUGUUUAUAGCAUGAAGUAAAAAUCAAAUCUGUACCUUUGCUCUCUGAAAUUGAUAGCUCAUUCUUUUUAAUUGAAUGAGCAGACUUUGCAAUUUGAUUGCAGUCGGCCCCAGGCUUGUAACAUAUAUGCCUAAUCAAACUGUGGACGUAUUGUUAGUGACACUGAAUUUUGUUUUGUGUGUACGCCUAUAACUGAAGUUUUAUUAAAACAGAAUCACUUGUCUUUUCA